RNAcentral lists this ribosomal RNA (322 nucleotides) under uncultured Anaerolineaceae bacterium. RNAcentral's name for it is "bacterial SSU rRNA". It matches the Rfam family "Bacterial small subunit ribosomal RNA", at positions 1046 to 1382 of the family's 1533-position model. Lineage: Bacteria; Bacillati; Chloroflexota; Anaerolineae; Anaerolineales; Anaerolineaceae. The record is from RNAcentral.
UGGCUGUCGUCAGCUCGUGUCGUGAGAUGUCCGGUUAAGUCCGCUAACGAGCGCAACCCUCGUCGUAUGUUAUAUGUGUCAUACGAGACUGCCGGUAAAAAGCCGGAGGAAGGUGAGGAUGAUGUCAAGUCAGCAUGACCUUUAUAUCCAGGGCUACACACACGCUACAAUGGUCUGUACAAUGGGUAGCCAAGCCGCGAGGCGGAGCCAAUCCUGAAAGCAGGCCUCAGUUCAGAUUGCAGUCUGCAACUCGACUGCAUGAAGCCGGAGUUGCUAGUAACCGCAGGUCAGCAAUACUGCGGUGAAUACGUUCCCGGGUCUU